CCUACGGGAGGCAGCAGUGGGGAAUAUUGGACAAUGGGCGCAAGCCUGAUCCANCCAUACCGCGUGGGUGAAGAAGGCCUUCGGGUUGUAAAGCCCUUUUGUUGGGAAAGAAAUCCAGCCGGCUAAUACCUGGUUGGGAUGACGGUACCCAAAGAAUAAGCACCGGCUAACUUCGUGCCAGCANCCGCGGUAAUACGAAGGGUGCAAGCGUUACUCGGAAUUACUGGGCGUAAAGCGUGCGUAGGUGGUCGUUUAAGUCCGUUGUGAAAGCCCUGGGCUCAACCUGGGAACUGCAGUGGAUACUGGGCGACUAGAGUGUGGUAGAGGGUAGCGGGAUUCCUGGUGUAGCAGUGAAAUGCGUAGAGAUCAGGAGGAACAUCCAUGGCGAAGGCAGCUACCUGGACCAACACUUGACACUGAUGGCACGAAAGCGUGGGGAGCAAACAG
Molecule: ribosomal RNA, 447 nt
Filed under: uncultured bacterium
Lineage: Bacteria
Description: bacterial SSU rRNA
Rfam family: Bacterial small subunit ribosomal RNA
Source: RNAcentral